Molecule: ribosomal RNA, 253 nt
Filed under: uncultured bacterium
Lineage: Bacteria
Description: partial 16S ribosomal RNA
Rfam family: Bacterial small subunit ribosomal RNA
Source: RNAcentral
UACGAAGGGUGCAAGCGUUAAUCGGAAUUACUGGGCGUAAAGCGCGCGCAGGCGGCUUUGCAAGACAGAUGUGAAAUCCCCGGGCUCAACCUGGGAACUGCAUUUGUGACUGCAAGGCUAGAGUACGGCAGAGGGGGAUGGAAUUCCGCGUGUAGCAGUGAAAUGCGUAGAUAUGCGGAGGAACACCAAUGGCGAAGGCAAUCCCCUGGGCCUGUACUGACGCUCAUGCACGAAAGCGUGGGGAGCAAACAGG